CCCUUAGAGUUUGAUCCUGGCUCAGAGUGAACGCUGGCGGUAGGCCUAACACAUGCAAGUCGAACGGCAGCACAGGAGAGCUUGCUCUCUGGGUGGCGAGUGGCGGACGGGUGAGGAAUACAUCGGAAUCUACCUUUUCGUGGGGGAUAACGUAGGGAAACUUACGCUAAUACCGCAUACGACCUACGGGUGAAAGUGGGGGACCGCAAGGCCUCACGCGAUUAGAUGAGCCGAUGUCCGAUUAGCUAGUUGGCGGGGUAAUGGCCCACCAAGGCGACGAUCGGUAGCUGGUCUGAGAGGAUGAUCAGCCACACUGGAACUGAGACACGGUCCAGACUCCUACGGGAGGCAGCAGUGGGGAAUAUUGGACAAUGGGCGCAAGCCUGAUCCAGCCAUACCGCGUGGGUGAAGAAGGCCUUCGGGUUGUAAAGCCCUUUUGUUGGGAAAGAAAUCCUGUCGAUUAAUACUCGGUGGGGAUGACGGUACCCAAAGAAUAAGCACCGGCUAACUUCGUGCCAGCAGCCGCGGUAAUACGAAGGGUGCAAGCGUUACUCGGAAUUACUGGGCGUAAAGCGUGCGUAGGUGGUGGUUUAAGUCUGCUGUGAAAGCCCUGGGCUCAACCUGGGAAUUGCAGUGGAUACUGGAUCACUAGAGUGUGGUAGAGGGAUGCGGAAUUUCUGGUGUAGCAGUGAAAUGCGUAGAGAUCAGAAGAACAUCCGUGGCGAAGCGGCAUCCUGGGCCAACACUGACACUGAGCACGAAAGCGUGGGGAGCAAACAGAUUAGAUACCCUGGUAGUCCACGCCCUAACGUG
This 813-nucleotide ribosomal RNA is filed under the name uncultured bacterium. RNAcentral describes it as "bacterial SSU rRNA". It matches the Rfam family "Bacterial small subunit ribosomal RNA", at positions 1 to 809 of the family's 1533-position model. The record is from RNAcentral.